This 3397-nucleotide long non-coding RNA is filed under the name Homo sapiens (human). RNAcentral's name for it is "HSALNT0072378". Lineage: Eukaryota; Metazoa; Chordata; Mammalia; Primates; Hominidae. The record is from RNAcentral.
AGUGGGUAACUUAUUCCCAUGAUCAACUUAAAACAAACAUAAAAGGACUCAGGAAAACCAUCUGUCAGAGAAGCACAUAAACUUUCAAGCAAUGGUUUAAAACAUCUAUUGAUUGCGCAAUGGAUGAUUUGUAAUUACAGAAUACGCAUUUGGUAAAUAGGUCUUUGUGGCCCUUUGAACUCUUUUUAUUGGGUUAACAGAUAAUUAGGGUCUGUUGUGUAGAUGCUCCAUAAUUGCUCCUUUGGAGCAGUUAAAGUUUGCGGAAUGGAUCCCCAACUCUGCUAUUUCUUUGUUGCAUCCCUCCAGCUCCUAAUAGAGCUAGUGAGAAGAGCUGGGAGAGGCUCACCCUGGUAUUUAGGAGGCAGCUGUUUUGCAUUCAAGGUAGAUCUCAGAAGCAGCAACCUGGGUGGCAGGGAGGGCAGGAGAGAGAGUUGGUUCUAUAAUCCCAGAGGCUGUCCCAGCUGCCCCCGCCAGCCAGCCUUGGGCAUAGUGUAAAUUGCUGCUGCUUUCUCACCAUGUGUGGACCACCAACCUGAGCUGUGUGAGCCUCAGCACUUUCUUCUCUGGAGACUAACCUAUGAAAAAGCAAGGGCUAUGGAUCAAGUAUUCUUUGAAGUGCCCUGUUCACUUCAUGGUUCUGUAGAGAAUUAGAAAACUUCCAGGAGUUUCCAAGAAUGCUGAUAUCCAGUUCACCACUUUACCCACUGGCUUGGCUGCAACCCUCCAGGGCAUCUUAUCACUGUUUUAUUGGAGUUGGAACGCGGCUGGAAUUGGAGUACAAAUUUCCUUCAGCAAGGAAAUGCUGGAGAAACAAGAGCAAGUUAACCUCCAAAUGGGUUCCAAGGCAACCGCUGUGUUGAAAUUUCACUUGGGUUCCCCUGGCUCUUUUUUACCUGCCUCUGCCAAAUUGUUGAUGCCCUCGCCUGUUGGAAAUGGAUGACUUUGAACAACGAGGGGCAAGGAGCCUCUCUUUUACUUCAGAACUACUACAGCAAGAAUUCAAACUCUUUGUUUUUGAGAAAAUAGCUCCUAAUGCUGUGUUGAUUUUACCGUGUGCUUCAGAAAAAGACCCUUAAGGCUAAUUGAUAUGAACAUAUAGAGGCAGUCUGAGCUUACCAGAAUUUAUAUUACCUGAUGUGUUAAGAAUCAGGAAGCUAUUUAUGCUAGCCUAUAGCAGCAACCCUUUGUAUUUAGUGUGUUUGUGUGUACACACAUACCUGUGUAAAUCAAAAUGAAAGCUUGCUUUUGUGAUCUAGCACAAGUUUUGCCAUAUCAUAUAUACAUUUUUAACUUUUGGAAGGUAGAAGACAAUUGAUAGGCAUUUAACAUGAAGAAAACAUGCAUUUAUAGUCAAUAUUAAUAGAAUAGAUGGUACUAAUCUAUAACAGUGAAAAAUAAAGAAGGUAGAGGAAGGAGGACAAAGACAGAGAGGAGACAGGGGGGAAAGGAGAAGACAGAAAAAAGAAAACCUCAAAACAAGGACUGCUCUGAGAGCCACAACUGAGUUUUAUGCUUCUUGCUGUCAUCUUUCUCUAACCUUAAAGGGCAGAAAGCAAUUGGGAGAACUAACCUGCACUUAGAUUUCAGCUUCCAUAGGAUGUUACAUUCUCAGGGUCUAUUAAAUCGAUUGGACUUUGACCUUAGCUUCCACGAAGUCCUUACCUUUUGAUUGGGGCUGAGAGGUCUGAUUUAACCUCAUGGAAUUUGUAUUUUUUGGAGGAACUCCUGCCUCGUCCGUACAUGGUGAAACCCCCAACAGCAGCAUUUUUAAUUUCCAGAUUCUCAGCAGACACAAUGCACAGACUGUAGAAAACACCUGCUCAUCCGGACCGCUCAGCUCACAGGCUCCUUCCUCAGGGGAGCAUCUGAUGCUCCAGGCAAGGCAGACCCUCUUCUUAUACUCUUGUGACCUCUUAGACUUUUCUUUUGUAGCACUUACUCCAGACUCUAAUCAUAUUUAUGUUGUGAUUGUUUAUGCAAUGGUUUUCUUCCUAACUAGGCUCUGAGUUCCAUGAGAGUUGCAAUGUCUGCAUCCCUUACCCUUGUUGAUAUACUGCACUGUGCCCGGUACCUAAGUAAUUGCUCAAUAAAUAUUUGUUAAAUGAAUGAUUAUAAUAGUAUGCAUAUAUGCAUAUAUAGUAUGAUAAUAUAUAUAAAUAUGUGUAAAACAGUAUAUAUACACAUGCUAUAUUAAUAGCACAUCAUGUAAUAUUGUAUGUCUACACACACAUACAUUCAGUAUUUACUCAGUUUUUCUGUAUAAGUACCGCGCGCUAACCGAUUGCGCCACUGGAGCUCUAGUAUUUACUCAGUUUUUCUGAGGCUUAUUUACUCAUUGGUGAAGUGAAAGUGAAUGUAAGGCUCUUUGCAAACCCCAAAGUGCUAGACCAGUAGGAAAGAUCAGAAUAGCCUUUCAUAUUAAACACUAUGAAGCCAGGAGCUGUGGCUCCCAACUGCAAUCCCAGCACUUUAGGAGGCUGAAGUGGAAGGAUCACUUUAGCCCAAGAGUUUGAGACCAGCCAGGGCAACACAGGGAGAUACCAUCUCUACAAAAAAAAAUUUUUUUAAUUAGCCAGGCAUGUGGUGCUUGCCUGUGGUCAAGUAGCCUCAGCUACUCUGGAGGCUGACGCAUGAGGAACACUUGAGCCCAGGAGGUUGAGGCUGCAGUGAGCUGUGAUUGUGCCACUGCACUCCAGUCUGGGUGACACAGUGAGACCUUGUCUUCAACGAACAAACAAACAAGCAAAAAACACUAUGGUAGAGACCCCAGUAAAUGCCUUCCAUGCUUAUAAAAUACAUUUAAGUAUCUCUCAAUCAAGUUUUCAGUAUUCUCAAGUCAGUCUUUCAUUCUAAAUUUAGAGUCAUUUCCAAAUAUAGUGCAUUUCCUGUCCCAUUCCUUCCCUGAAAGACAGCCGUGUCCAACUAGAAGUGGGCCUGACGCCUCUUAUUAGCCCGGUUGCAUUUCUGUCUCGCUCUUGGCUGCAGUGUGUGAGCUGAUGGGCCCCACGUGACUGUGUUCACGUCCAAGCUUAGUAGAAUGAAUUUUUCCAGCAUGAUUUGCAAGUCACGCUAUCACAUGCCUCCUGAGUCCAGCUGUGCCGCAGCUGCCGCCUCCCCUGCAUCCGCUCAUCUUGCACUUGGAUCAAAAGCACGAGCACAUUUGCCUGAACCGAUCUGGUCUCGGCCCAGCUGUUUGUUCCCCAUUGUCAUCAGGAUGUUUACAGACCUGCUGUUCUUGCUGUACUUGUUUCAUGAUCACACUUGGGUCUGCAGAGCAUUUUAACACAUGGCUGUGGCCGAAGCUGGCAAUUUGACUAGCUUUUCUUGGUCACUGAGACUUCUCUAAGGCAUUUCCUUCAAACCUUCCUAACUAUGUGUAUGCUUGCACAUUUCCACA